Non-coding RNA from Pseudomonas fluorescens HK44, 87 nucleotides. Lineage: Bacteria; Pseudomonadati; Pseudomonadota; Gammaproteobacteria; Pseudomonadales; Pseudomonadaceae. The record is from Rfam.
UGCUAUGGCAGCUGUGCGCGGGAUACCUUCGGGUAUGCCGGGUUCCUAGAGUCCCGGUCGGUCAACCCGCGUACAGUUGCCACCCUA